Molecule: long non-coding RNA, 1195 nt
Filed under: Physcomitrium patens
Lineage: Eukaryota; Viridiplantae; Streptophyta; Bryopsida; Funariales; Funariaceae
Description: long non-coding RNA (PPAT_LNC012373)
Source: RNAcentral
GCUUAAUCAAAUUCAAAAGAACCUCAAAGAAAUUUCAAACAAACAAUAGGAAUUUUUAAAAAAAUAUUAGAAAAAAUACAAAUGUCAUUCAAAUACAUCUCAAUUCAAUCUUAAUUUAAAUGUAGUUAAAAUCCUAUUGAACUUCAUUAAAACUUUAAGCCAAACUAAUUGAAUCUUAAAUCCUAAUAAAAUCCUAAAUCCUAAAUCAAACCCUAACCAAAUCCUAAACCAAACCCUAAAUCCUAAAUCAAAUCCUAACCAAAUCCUAAACCAAAUCCUAAUCCAAAACCUAAACCCUAAACCAAACCCUAACCAAAUCCUAAAUCCUAAAUCAAACCCUAAUCCAAAUCCUAAAUCCCAAACCAAAUCCUAACCAAACCCUAAACCAAAUCCUAGUAAUUCCUAUAACAGAUUUAAAUCCCAAUAACUAAUGAAUAAACCGUUGAUCUUAAAUCAAAUUUUACACACUUCUAAAAAAAUAAGUUAGAAACAAGCACAAAAAAAUUGAUAAGGAUCGGAGUUUCCAAAUUGAUGAUAUCCUCAAAAAUGUGCUCGGAUAUUGGCUGGCCUCCUUCUCCAAUCUUAAUGCCAAUCUUCCAGAGCCAAUAUCUCUCUUUUGCACCGUUCGAUUGAUCUCAAAAUUCUCAUACGCAUAAAAAAACAAGUCUAAUAUCCUCUCACGUAAGUUUCACUCCAAUUCAAUUAGUAGAUUGUAAGAAAUCUUAAAAAAUCUCACUGGAUCUAAAAUUCUACUUUCUAAGAUCUUGACCCACUUAAACCUCAAUAUCCUUCAACUUAACCGUUAGAUCAAGCUCAAACUCACAACACAUAUUGAACACAACAAUAAACAUAAACCCACAAAAUUUUACCUGUAGAUCUACAAAAAAACUCUUGAAAUCACCCAAAACAUAAACCCUAUUUUAUUUCAUAAAACCCAAGUCAUCCAAAAUAAACCUUGACUUUGCAAAGCUAUUACAAAGUCAGUACAAAUCCAAAUCACCCAAAUCCAACACCCAUAGAAAUCCUAUUCAAUCUUCUAUCAAACCCUACUCUUCGAUCUACCAAAGAAUCCCGAAGUCGUCGUCAAGACUCAGUUUUGUGCUUUAGGGUCUGAUUUCGACCCUAGUUCUUAACCGGCCCUCUCCGGGUAUCAACUUUCAUCUUCUUGAGGUAAUAUUUACUAAUUUGCACUCCU